AUGUUUAAACCCCACCUGUGUAUUUACCUGUUGCUUCCGUGCUGCACACGCUGCAAAGCGUGUCUCCGGGUCCGGGACCGCGAGUGGCUCCCCGGACCGUGGGGAGUCGGCACGUGUGGUUUACCGUAAACUCUAGCCUUUGAAUGCCUUCCGUCUGAACUGUAGCGCGCAAAAUGUUUAAAAACUUUCAACAACGGAUCUCUUGGUUCUCGCAUCGAUGAAGAACGCAGCGAAAUGCGAUAAGUAGUGUGAAUUGCAGAAUUCCGUGAAUCAUCGAAUCUUUGAACGCACAUUGCGCCUUCCGGUAUUCCGGGAGGCAUGCCUGUUCGAGCGUCACUAAAAAAUCAACUCGUGCAAGCCAACCUUGCAUGGUCAUGGAGGAAGAGUUCUGCCUUGUUCCGCGAUCUCCCCUCCGAAAAUCAAGGGCGCAAAUACACUGGUUCUCGGCGUAGUACUAUCGUUCGUCGAUCAUCCACUGUCGUUGCCGCGCCAAACCCCCACAAUUUUUUUUGAUUGACCUCGGAUCAGUAGGGGAUACCCGCUGAACUUAAACAUAUCAAUAN
RNAcentral lists this unclassified non-coding RNA (563 nucleotides) under ectomycorrhizal isolate ECM 2. RNAcentral's name for it is "ITS1, 5.8S rRNA, ITS2". The stretch from base 183 to 336 matches the Rfam family "5.8S ribosomal RNA". The record is from RNAcentral. Lineage: Eukaryota; Fungi.